UAGAAGCAGCCAUCAUUUAAAGAAAGCGUAAUAGCUCACUGGUCGAGUCGGCCUGCGCGGAAGAUGUAACGGGGCUAAACCAUGCACCGAAGCUGCGGCAGCGACGCUUAUGCGUUGUUGGGUAGGGGAGCGUUCUGUAAGCCUGUGAAGGUGUGCUGUGAGGUAUGCUGGAGGUAUCAGAAGUGCGAAUGCUGACAUAAGUAACGAUAAAGCGGGUGAAAAGCCCGCUCGCCGGAAGACCAAGGGUUCCUGUCCAACGUUAAUCGGGGCAGGGUGAGUCGACCCCUAAGGCGAGGCCGAAAGGCGUAGUCGAUGGGAAACAGGUUAAUAUUCCUGUACUUGGUGUUACUGCGAAGGGGGGACGGAGAAGGCUAUGUUGGCCGGGCGACGGUUGUCCCGGUUUAAGCGUGUAGGCUGGUUUUCCAGGCAAAUCCGGAAAAUCAAGGCCG
Molecule: ribosomal RNA, 449 nt
Filed under: Shigella flexneri
Lineage: Bacteria; Pseudomonadati; Pseudomonadota; Gammaproteobacteria; Enterobacterales; Enterobacteriaceae
Description: partial 23S ribosomal RNA
Rfam family: Bacterial large subunit ribosomal RNA
Source: RNAcentral